RNAcentral lists this ribosomal RNA (250 nucleotides) under uncultured prokaryote. RNAcentral's name for it is "partial 16S ribosomal RNA". It matches the Rfam family "Bacterial small subunit ribosomal RNA", at positions 524 to 773 of the family's 1533-position model. The record is from RNAcentral.
UACGUAUGGAGCAAGCGUUAUCCGGAUUUAUUGGGUGUAAAGAGUUCGUAGGCGGAUCAGCAAGUUGGUUGUGAAAUCCCUAGGCUUAACUUAGGAACUGCAACCAAAACUACAGAUCUUGAGUACUGGAGGGGAAAGCGGAAUUCCUAGUGUAGCGGUGAAAUGCGUAGAUAUUAGGAAGAACACCGGUGGCGAAGGCGGCUUUCUGGACAGAAACUGACGCUGAGGAACGAAAGUGUGGGGAGCAAAC